RNAcentral lists this non-coding RNA (151 nucleotides) under Priestia megaterium. RNAcentral's name for it is "Bacillus megaterium SAM-I sequence". It matches the Rfam family "SAM riboswitch aptamer (S box leader)". Rfam says of the family: The SAM riboswitch is found upstream of a number of genes which code for proteins involved in methionine or cysteine biosynthesis in Gram-positive bacteria. The SAM riboswitch acts at the level of transcription termination control. The predicted structure consists of a complex stem-loop region followed by a single stem loop terminator region. RNAcentral also lists the same sequence under 1 other name. Lineage: Bacteria; Bacillati; Bacillota; Bacilli; Caryophanales; Bacillaceae. The record is from RNAcentral.
CUCUUAUCAAGAGUUGGCUGAGGGAUUUGGCCCUGUGAAGCCCAGCAACCGACCGUCAUUCCAUCCUAAGAUGGAUCACACCCGUAAAACAUGUUUUACAAAGGCACGGUGCUAAUUCCAACAGAAAGUAAUUCUUUCUGGCAGAUAAGAG